This 1277-nucleotide long non-coding RNA is filed under the name Amphibalanus amphitrite. Its description in RNAcentral is "uncharacterized LOC122366247". Lineage: Eukaryota; Metazoa; Arthropoda; Thecostraca; Balanomorpha; Balanidae. The record is from RNAcentral.
GCGCGUUUUUUGUAUCUCCCAUCGGAUUUGGAUUGAGUCGCACGGAGUCAAUAUUAUUUGCGGGCAAGAGUCAACCCGGAGUCACCUUGGGUUAAGUGGUUUAUAGCCCAGUCGUGGGUGGACGCACAAUUAUACCCUGGGACGUAUAACCUUUAUAGACGAUAUCGAACACGGUGACUAUAAAUAAUAUCAAUAUCGAAAUUGAAAUUCGUUGACAUCUGCCACUGUGGUGUGUUAAUAAAAGAAAGCAGUUAUGCCUACAAAUUCGAUCCAGUAUUCUGAAAAAUACUCAGAUGACAGAUAUGAAUACAGGCAUGUGAUGCUGCCAUCAAACUUGGCCAAGAGUGUUCCAAUGACCCAUCUGAUGACGGAGAGUGAAUGGAGGAAUCUUGGUGUACAGCAGUCUCCGGGGUGGGUCCACUACAUGGUUCAUCUUCCUGAGCCGCACGUGCUUCUGUUCCGGAGGCCGCUGCCUCAGCCGUCAGGAGGUCGGUCUGCCGCCCAUCAGAGCCAGCCGGUCACCUGCCAGUAAAGUGAGACAUCACCCAGCCCGUCACCUGCCAAUGACGUGACGUCACUCAGCUGGUCAUUAUCGGUGUUACGUCACCAGUAGGACGAGACGUCUCUGCUGCGGUACCGUUUCUCCGUCAUGGUAGGUUCUGUGUGGCGGUGCUGUGACCAAUCUCAGCGGGAUAACUGAGACUGUAACAUGUGGGUGUUUGAACGUUGUAAGACAUUGCUCUGUCACCGUGGGUUUAGACUGUCGAUAGUUGCUGGCGAUGAUCAGGCAAUGCUGUCAGACUUGGUGUCUGUUGUCGGAGAAUGUGUUAUUGCUAGGUCCAAGGUCAUCAGUGUUUCAUCUAUCAUAUUUUCAUCUCAUAGUUCAAACAUUCGGUAAACUAAGCUGUGCGGCCGUGUUCGUCGCUUUUUCCGAAAUUCCCAUAAGGGGGUGGAAGAAGAGACCCAAGCCGUGGGUGGUGGGCUGUAGUAACCGAAAAGAUAAUCCGACUAACGGUGACCCACGCUAAUUGCUCUUUUGGCAAUUUGUUCUCCGAAGUGCAUACCAACUUUCUCGGCUAUAAUCGACUGCAGGUCCGUUCCGUUCGAUAUUACGCACUGAAUGGUGUCUCGACUCUCGUGUUCCAUUUCACAUCUGACUGUCACCUGUUAGGUACUUCUGUGUUUUGCAUGAAGGGGUGGUUUGGUUUGGAGCCCUGUCUUAUCUGUGCGUAAUGCGUAUGCCCUGCAUGCAUUGCAAUAUAAUGUAACCAAAGCAA